Molecule: ribosomal RNA, 253 nt
Filed under: uncultured bacterium
Lineage: Bacteria
Description: partial 16S ribosomal RNA
Rfam family: Bacterial small subunit ribosomal RNA
Source: RNAcentral
UACGUAGGGGGCGAGCGUUGUCCGGAGUUACUGGGCGUAAAGGGCAUGCAGGCGGUCGGACGCGUUUUGUGUGACAGCGGGUGGCUUAACUGCCCGAGUAUGCGAAAGACGGUUUGACUUGAGGGCUCGAGAGGGACACGGAAUUCCGGGUGGAGUGGUGAAAUGCGUAGAGAUCCGGAGGAACACCAAAGGCGAAGGCAGUGUCCUGGUGAGCACCUGACGCUGAGGUGCGAAAGCUAGGGGAGCGAACGGG